RNAcentral lists this long non-coding RNA (283 nucleotides) under Gallus gallus (chicken). Lineage: Eukaryota; Metazoa; Chordata; Aves; Galliformes; Phasianidae. The record is from RNAcentral.
CCUGUACAAGAGAACCACUGUCCUCUUGUGCUUUGCCAAUAUGGGCUUUAGUUUAGCAAUUCAGGCCGAGCCCUGUCCAAUGGUCUGGCACCAUCAGGAAAUACUUGUCCAUAGCUUCACAAAACCUGGUCCGGUAGAGCUCUGGAGAGACCACAGUUGGCAUCUUACCUUGACCUCCCAAGAUGCCAGUUGACUUCACCACCAUUUCAAGCUUUUUGUCCCAGGUAAAAGUGCGAAUAUAGUCAAUGAUCCCAACAACCAGCUCAUUGCUUGUAUCAUCUCG